This 499-nucleotide ribosomal RNA is filed under the name uncultured bacterium. RNAcentral describes it as "partial 16S ribosomal RNA". It matches the Rfam family "Bacterial small subunit ribosomal RNA", at positions 28 to 507 of the family's 1533-position model. The record is from RNAcentral.
GACGAACGCUGGCGGCGUGCUUAACACAUGCAAGUCGAACGGGCCUGUCUUCUUUUUUGGGGGUGGGUUGGGUGGCGAAGGGGGGGGUAUCACGGGAGUAACCUGCCCUUCGGUCCUGGAUAACCGCUUGAAAGGGCGGCUAAUACGGGGUGGUCCGGUUGGUCCGCAUGGGGGGGUCGGGAUAGAUUCCCGGUGUUUGGUGGUUCGGCGGGGGAUGGGCUCGCGGCGUAUCAGCUUGUUGGUGGGGUGAUGGCCUACCGAGGGGGUGACGGGUAGCCGGGCGGAGGGGGGGGGCGGCCACAGGGGGACGGGGCUACGGCCCAGACUGCUGCGGGAGGGAGCGGUGGGGGGUAUUGCACAAGGGGCGGAAGCCUGAUGCAGCGACGUCGGGUGAGGGAGGGAGGCGUUCGGGUUGUGAACCUCUGUUUCCGGUGGUGAAGGCCCUGUCCGUGUGGUGGGGUUGACGGUAGCCGGGGAUGAAGCGCCGGCUAACUACGUG